AAAACACUUUCAGCAAGGGAAAAAAUUAAUAUAAAUAAUACUUAUAUUAACUGAUAUUACCUGCAAAAGAAGUACCGGCUAACUCCGUGCCAGCAGCCGCGGUAAUACGGAGGGUACAAGCGUUAAUCGGAAUUAUUGGGCGUAAAGAGUACGUAGGUGGUAUAUUAAGUCAGAUGUGAAAUACUUAAGCUUACACUUACAGAACUGCAUUUGAAACUAAUAAACUAGAGUUUUAUAGAGGGGAGUAGAAUUCCAAGUGUAGCGGUGAAAUGCGUACGAUAUUUGGAGGAAUACCAGAGGCGAAGGCGACUCCCUGGGUAAUAACUGACACUGAGGUACGAAAGCUUGGGGAGCAAACAGGAUUAGAUACCCUGGUAGUCCAUGCUGUAAACGAUGUCAAUUUGAAGAUUGUAAUAUUAUUAUUUUUUAUAAUUUUCGUAGCUAACGCAUUAAAUUGACCGCCUGGGGAUUACGACCGCAAGGUUAAAACUCAGAUGAAUUGACGGGGACCCGCAACAAGCGGUGGAGCAUGUGG
This 535-nucleotide ribosomal RNA is filed under the name endosymbiont of Sphenophorus levis. Its description in RNAcentral is "bacterial SSU rRNA". It matches the Rfam family "Bacterial small subunit ribosomal RNA", at positions 427 to 944 of the family's 1533-position model. Lineage: Bacteria; Pseudomonadati; Pseudomonadota; Gammaproteobacteria. The record is from RNAcentral.